This is a non-coding RNA of Stegodyphus mimosarum, 46 nucleotides long. The record is from Rfam. Lineage: Eukaryota; Metazoa; Arthropoda; Arachnida; Araneae; Eresidae.
AAAACGGCUCUUUUCAGGGCCACACACUCCCGGCAAUGAGUUGUGU